GCUUACACAUGCAAGUCGAACGAUGAACCCGGAGCUUGCUCCGGUGGAUUAGUGGCGAACGGGUGAGUAACACGUGAGUAACCUGCCCUUGACUCUGGGAUAACUGCUAGAAAUGGUAGCUAAUACCGGAUACGACCCUCGGAGGCAUCUCCAGGGGGUGGAAAGAAUUUCGGUCAAGGAUGGACUCGCGGCCCAUCAGCUGGUUGGUGAGGUAAAGGCUCACCAAGGCGACGACGGGUAGCCGGCCUGAGAGGGUGACCGGCCACACUGGGACUGAGACACGGCCCAGACUCCUACGGGAGGCAGCAGUGGGGAAUAUUGCACAAUGGGCGCAAGCCUGAUGCAGCAACGCCGCGUGAGGGACGACGGCCUUCGGGUUGUAAACCUCUUUUAGUAGGGAAGAAGCGAAAGUGACGGUACCUGCAGAAAAAGCACCGGCUAACUACGUGCCAGCAGCCGCGGUAAUACGUAGGGUGCAAGCGUUGUCCGGAAUUAUUGGGCGUAAAGAGCUCGUAGGCGGUUUGUCGCGUCUGCUGUGAAAUCCCGAGGCUCAACCUCGGGCCUGCAGUGGGUACGGGCAAACUAGAGUGUGGUAGGGGAGAUUGGAACUCCUGGUGUAGCGGUGGAAUGCGCAGAUAUCAGGAAGAACACCGAUGGCGAAGGCAGAUCUCUGGGCCAUUACUGACGCUGAGGAGCGAAAGCGUGGGGAGCGAACAGGAUUAGAUACCCUGGUAGUCCACGCCGUAAACGUUGGGAACUAGAUGUAGGGUCCAUUCCACGGAUUCUGUGUCGCAGCUAACGCGUUAAGUUCCCCGCCUGGGGAGUACGGCCGCAAGGCUAAAACUCAAAGGAAUUGACGGGGGCCCGCACAAGCGGCGGAGCAUGCGGAUUAAUUCGAUGCAACGCGAAGAACCUUACCAAGGCUUGACAUAUACCGGAAAAGCGUAGAAAUACGCUCCCCGCAAGGUCGGUAUACAGGUGGUGCAUGGUUGUCGUCAGCUCGUGUCGUGAGAUGUUGGGUUAAGUCCCGCAACGAGCGCAACCCUCGUCCUAUGUUGCCAGCACGUAAUGGUGGGAACUCAUGGGAGACUGCCGGGGUCAACUCGGAGGAAGGUGGGGAUGACGUCAAAUCAUCAUGCCCCUUAUGUCUUGGGCUUCACGCAUGCCACAAUGGCCGAUACAGAGGGCUGCAAUACCGCAAGGUGGAGCGAAUCCCAAAAAGUCGGUCUCAGUUCGGAUUGAGGUCUGCAACUCGACCUCAUGAAGUCGGAGUCGCUAGUAAUCGCAGAUCAGCAACGC
RNAcentral lists this ribosomal RNA (1299 nucleotides) under uncultured bacterium. RNAcentral's name for it is "bacterial SSU rRNA". It matches the Rfam family "Bacterial small subunit ribosomal RNA", at positions 46 to 1357 of the family's 1533-position model. The record is from RNAcentral.